RNAcentral lists this ribosomal RNA (253 nucleotides) under uncultured bacterium. Its description in RNAcentral is "partial 16S ribosomal RNA". It matches the Rfam family "Bacterial small subunit ribosomal RNA", at positions 524 to 776 of the family's 1533-position model. The record is from RNAcentral.
GACAGAGGGUGCAAACGUUGUUCGGAAUUACUGGGCGUAAAGGGCGCGUAGGCGGCCUGCUAAGUCGGACGUGAAAUCCCUCGGCUCAACCGGGGAACUGCGUCCGAUACUGGUUGGCUUGAAUUCGGGAGAGGGAUGCGGAAUUCCAGGUGUAGCGGUGAAAUGCGUAGAUAUCUGGAGGAACACCGGUGGCGAAGGCGGCAUCCUGGACCGAGAUUGACGCUGAUGCGCGAAAGCCAGGGGAGCAAACGGG